GGCUUGAUGGCGAAAUUUGGUCAAACGCGUCAGACUUAAAAUCUGGUGGUCCGUAAGGACCGUGCGGGUUCGAAUCCCGCUCGAGCUA
RNAcentral lists this transfer RNA (88 nucleotides) under Clostridia bacterium. RNAcentral describes it as "tRNA-Leu". It matches the Rfam family "tRNA". From Rfam's summary of the family: Transfer RNA (tRNA) molecules are approximately 80 nucleotides in length. Their secondary structure includes four short double-helical elements and three loops (D, anti-codon, and T loops). Lineage: Bacteria; Bacillati; Bacillota; Clostridia. The record is from RNAcentral.